UCAGCCAAUGGGACGGGCUCCAGCAGCCAGAUGUCCACCCCCAUUUCCAAGCACUCCCCCACCUCCACCCCCACCAGUCCAGGUCCCACCAACAAGCAAAAGGAUCUGUACCUGCCCUUAUCCAUGGAUGAUGAAGAUUCCCAGGGUGAAUCCAUGUAGGUUCUCCUCCUGCUGCAGCACUGCCUCCUCUCUUUGGCCUAAUUUUGAAGUUUUAUACCAACACUCACAGUGCCACCUACCUGUUGUUCCGGGGAUUGAAACCACUCCACAUUUGUUUUGGGUUUUUUUUUUCUUUGUUUGUUUUAUUUUUUCAGGGCCAGGACACAAUUUGCUGCUUGACGAAGCCACAAACCAUUUUUUAAAACCAGUUUCAACCACAAUCUGCUCACACAAGUUUAAAAUCCGUCUCUAGUUCUAUAAAAAUACUACACUAGUUCUCCAGUAGGGGGAGCACAAACUCACAGAGCUCAUGCACAUUUCACGGGUGUAACACACGUUCCACUUUUGUUUCAGACACUUUGUAAAAAAAA
This is a long non-coding RNA of Cynoglossus semilaevis (tongue sole), 530 nucleotides long. RefSeq lists it as uncharacterized. NCBI's taxonomy places the organism in Eukaryota, Metazoa, Chordata, Actinopteri, Pleuronectiformes, Cynoglossidae. The record is from RefSeq and is a predicted model, not a curated record. The transcript has 2 exons.